CCUACGGGAGGCAGCAGUGGGGAAUAUUGGGCAAUGGGCGCAAGCCUGACCCAGCAAUGCCGCGUGAAGGAAGAAGGCCCUCGGGUUGUAAACUUCUUUUAUCAGGGACGAAGGAUGUGACGGUACCUGAUGAAUAAGCUCCGGCUAACUACGUGCCAGCAGCCGCGGUAAUACGUAGGGAGCAAGCGUUAUCCGGAUUUACUGGGUGUAAAGGGCGCGUAGGCGGGAUGGCAAGUCAGAUGUGAAAUCCAGGGGCUCAACCCCUGAACUGCAUUUGAAACUGUCGUUCUUGAGUACUGGAGAGGUUGACGGAAUUCCUAGUGUAGCGGUGAAAUGCGUAGAUAUUAGGAGGAACACCAGUGGCGAAGGCGGUCAACUGGACAGCAACUGACGCUGAGGCGCGAAAGCGUGGGGAGCAAACAGGAUUAGAUACCCCAGUAGUC
RNAcentral lists this ribosomal RNA (443 nucleotides) under uncultured bacterium. Its description in RNAcentral is "partial 16S ribosomal RNA". It matches the Rfam family "Bacterial small subunit ribosomal RNA", at positions 338 to 795 of the family's 1533-position model. The record is from RNAcentral.